This 464-nucleotide ribosomal RNA is filed under the name Cladosporium uredinicola. RNAcentral's name for it is "eukaryotic LSU rRNA". The stretch from base 115 to 268 matches the Rfam family "5.8S ribosomal RNA". The record is from RNAcentral. Lineage: Eukaryota; Fungi; Ascomycota; Dothideomycetes; Cladosporiales; Cladosporiaceae.
GUUGUCCGACUCUGUUGCCUCCGGGGCGACCCUGCCUUCGGGCGGGGGCUCCGGGUGGACACUUCAAACUCUUGCGUAACUUUGCAGUCUGAGUAAACUUAAUUAAUAAAUUAAAACUUUUAACAACGGAUCUCUUGGUUCUGGCAUCGAUGAAGAACGCAGCGAAAUGCGAUAAGUAAUGUGAAUUGCAGAAUUCAGUGAAUCAUCGAAUCUUUGAACGCACAUUGCGCCCCCUGGUAUUCCGGGGGGCAUGCCUGUUCGAGCGUCAUUUCACCACUCAAGCCUCGCUUGGUAUUGGGCAACGCGGUCCGCCGCGUGCCUCAAAUCGACCGGCUGGGUCUUCUGUCCCCUAAGCGUUGUGGAAACUAUUCGCUAAAGGGUGUUCGGGAGGCUACGCCGUAAAACAACCCCAUUUCUAAGGUUGACCUCGGAUCAGGUAGGGAUACCCGCUGAACUUAAGCAUA